GGAAAAUAGAAGGAGGGUGUAAUUUGAUUGGCUUAUAUGCUCAAAUAUAAAUAACAUUUAACCAGAAUCGCAGACUGUACCUUUAAUAGAGUUAUCCACAUAUUGUUUGUUUUGUGUAUAUGAAUGGGUGGGAGCAAAGGGUGAGUUUUGGAUUACUAAUUGGUGUGUAUUUGCAUCAGUUCUUUUUUUUUUUUUACAACAUAUCACUGUUAAUUUCACGUUCCAUCUUACAAAGCGUAUCACAUUAUCUUAUAUUUUUAUGUCUACUGGGAAGAAUACAUUAGUGCAGAAUCUUAUUUUGCUUUUUUUAUCAACAGAUAAUACAUUUGUGAUGUUUUUAAUGACACUUCCAAAUGUUUUACGUAUUGGGUGAUAGGGAUUAUACAUGUAUUCCUUUCAUUUGAUUAUUUAACCGUUGAAUAGUAGAGGGCCUGACAGAACAACUUACCCUUCUUUGUGAGUCAUUGUGUACUUUACAUUUAGUCAUUUAGCAGACGCUUUUAUCCAAAGCGACUUACAUAUGUGUGACUUACAAUGUAUACACAUUUUACAUUUACACCGAUGGCACACUGCACAUCAGGAGCAAUUAGGGGUUCAGUGUCUUGCUCAAGGACGCUUCGACAGGGAAUCGAACUAGCAACCUUCUGAUUACUAAACGACUUCUCUACCUACUGUACCACUGUCGCCGGUAAACAUUCUAAAUGCAUACAGCAAGGGAAGGAAAUGGAGGAAAAGAAGUGUUAAGUUUCAUAGCUAGUCUACCAUUAGCACCACUUUUCCAUAGUGGGUAUUAAAUGAGCAGUACAGGUGUACAAAACAGUUUGUGGCAGGGAUAUAAUAUUUCUUACUUACAAUGUAUAAAGUAUGUAACUUUUAGCUACAAAGCCUACAUUAGGUAAUUAUUGGAUCAAUAUUUACCUAAGAAUGGAUUGUGUUUCUGUAUGCAGUCAUUUGUAUCGUGUAUUUGAGUGUUUUUUAAAAGGUAUUCAUAUAUCUCGGGCAUGGUACUGUUAGGAAAUGAUGAUAUCUAUCUAUAAGUGUCUUUCCUAUUCUCAUGGUGACAGUCUCUGUGCACACUGGGUGUGAAAAUGCACCUUGAACCGUUCAUAGGGGCCUGCACCAGUCCUUUAUGUUUGCUUUUCGGGUGUGUACAAGGUGUCUUGUUUGAUGAAAGCUGAGGACUGGGUGGGUAGUUCAGGGGAAUUGUGAGAAGCACAAAGCCACCGAGGCAGAAAAGACUCCCACGGGUCAGGUCGUAUUUCACAACCUGACUAGUGGUGCCAUUGUUUUGGAUUCACUGUCCUUGCAUUGUAUUGUGCACUUAUAUUUUGCCCUUUACUUUCAUUUAGUGUAUCAAAAAUGGUCGUUAUUUUAUGCAUGUAAGAAAACUAAA
Molecule: long non-coding RNA, 1393 nt
Organism: Clupea harengus (Atlantic herring)
Lineage: Eukaryota; Metazoa; Chordata; Actinopteri; Clupeiformes; Clupeidae
Source: Ensembl